UAGCCAGUAUCAGUGGCCCCUUAUCUUGGCCAGUUGCGAGCCCCACCCUCAUUGUUUUAAACUUGCACAACAAGCUGAUGCUUGUAGGUGUAUCGAUCCCAGACUUAUCGACACCAUCUAUUGUGUUUGGAAACACCCAUCCUAUAUAAAGCUGCCUCAGAGCCCGAAACUCUGACAUUUUCGCGUCAGGAUCCCGCAGCGGUGCAGACCGUUUUCUUUGUGAUCAUCAACGUUAACAUAGUUCUUUAUAACACGGACAUCGUAAACGCUUCAUUUUUCGGAGAACGGCGCAGGACCUGCUGCUUCAGAAACGGCUUUACAGCUGGAUCGAGUAACAGGGUUACCAAACUGAGCAGAAAAACAUUCAGACACCGUGACCACAGAGUCAAACAACAGAGCUACGCCAGAGCACCGUGUGUGUGCAGAAGCAGGGCCGUCCGGAAUAACGCACACUACAAGACUGCAGUUCUUCCUGUGUUGAACCGUCCUUCAACAAACCAGCAACACCCGCGAGUGAGUGGCUGCCUCGUGAUUUCAGUCAUGUCUUUGAGUGCAUCAGAUUUCGAUCUAGGUCACAUACCCACCACACCAGAAUGUAUCCGAAAAAGCGACGAGUCACACAUAGAUUUUGAAGAAGGUGGCAGAACAGACUCUCAAAUAUCAGCGGCGUGUGGUGCUUGCAUGAACGUUGCAGACGCACAGCCUGCUGAACAGAGUCAUACAGAUCAAAUAAUUGAUCAAUUACGUUCGAUUGAAGCUAAACUCGACCAACACCACCAAGCCGUACAGGCACACAUGCAAGAAAUAACCGAUACUCUAACUGGGAUUGCUGAAGAAAUAAACAAAAUGUUUACCGCAUUAGACAUGCUCACCAGAAGUCUAAUGCAAAAGUCUAAUGGUCUGACUUUUAAAACCCAGACCAUGGACCCUCCUAAUAAAUUAUUUAAACGUAAUAACGGUACCUCCACUCCUGCUAGACGGGAUGACUUGGCGGCUUUUAAACGGUGGUCUGAAGAAACAAACAAAAAAUUAGACGAUAUUAUUGCAAGACUUAAUAAAGUGCCUGCAUCAACAUCUGAUACAAAACCUUGUCCAACUCACUCUGAGCCUGUUGUUACUGAUGCUAACUGUACAGACGCUGCUGCUGGUGAUUUCUGAUGCACAACCUAGCGGGGUUACCUCUGCUGCUGCUGUUGCUACUGAGACUGUUACUGCUUCUACUAAUGCUUUUGCCUCACCAGCUCGCAGCUGUGCACCUGUCACACUUAGAAGUCAAAGUACACAUUAACCAUAAUUACAAAAACAUUUUUAUUUCAUUUAAAAGUGAGAUUCUAAGUUGUAAGAAGAAAUCUUAUGCUCAGCCAGGAGUAUGUUUCCUCCCUUUCACAAUGCUGAGGUAUCAAAUCCAUGAUCCAACAGAUGGUUUGUCACACGCGGGCGAGAAGGGCAAGCCACCACUUACACAACCUCUCACACUAUAGAUUUUUAAAGUUCUUGUGUACAACGGUUUAGCUACAGAUAUAACUUCUACUUUUGAUAAAGAUCAAUCCCUCUGCAUAUUUCUUAAGAAAUGAAGCAUCUUUACUGGGAUAUUUAUUGUCAAACUAUGCGAUUUUCCAGAUGUGUGUGGAGUAAAAUGUUGUGACCAAGAAUCAUAUAUAGUAUAGUUCCACACUUUACCGCUAGUUUUACAAACACGUUCUUCUUCGUGCCUGUUCAAUUGUUGUUGUUUUUUUUAUUAAACUGAUUUUUCAAUAGUACAACCAACGUCUAACUUUUCUUUGCUCCCCAGUGUAAAUGCAGGAAUUUCGCAGGCUUUAUUGAAACUGACACAAUUUAACACUCAAUGCCAUAAACAGAGUUGAUCCAUGUCUCUAUGGAAAGUGUUUCAUGCAUCAGCAGCUUUGAAAAUCACUUUUAAAGUAAUGUAGAACAUGAUCUCUCUCACUCUCAGCGUCUGUAAAAACCCAGCAAAGUGACAAUCACCUCUAAACAAGAGGGGUUAGUUUAUAGGGUUUUGUUGUUGUUGUCGUUGUUGUUGUUGUUGUUUGACACACUGUAAGUAAGUUCAGUACAGGACAAUGCGGCUAACAGCCUUGGAAAUGCUUUACAUGAAAUAAAACGUUUUAGAAAACAAGAAUAAAUGUAACUGUUUUACCUGAAUCAAAUGUAUUAGUUUACUUGAAAUAAAACUUAUUUGGGAAA
Oreochromis niloticus (Nile tilapia) is the source of this 2205-nucleotide long non-coding RNA. RefSeq lists it as uncharacterized. NCBI's taxonomy places the organism in Eukaryota, Metazoa, Chordata, Actinopteri, Cichliformes, Cichlidae. The record is from RefSeq and is a predicted model, not a curated record. The transcript has 5 exons.